RNAcentral lists this ribosomal RNA (331 nucleotides) under uncultured eukaryote. Its description in RNAcentral is "partial 18S ribosomal RNA". It matches the Rfam family "Eukaryotic small subunit ribosomal RNA", at positions 1470 to 1796 of the family's 1831-position model. The record is from RNAcentral.
CCCUUAGAUGUUCUGGGCCGCACGCGCGCUACACUGUUCGACGCAGCGAGUCUUAACCUUGACCGAAAGGUUUGGGUAAUCUUCAGCAAAGUCGAACGUGAUGGGGAUCGAUCAUUGCAAUUAUUGAUCGUGAACGAGGAAUUCCUAGUAAGUGCAAGUCAUCAGCUUGCGCUGAUUACGUCCCUGCCCUUUGUACACACCGCCCGUCGCUACUACCGAUUGAAUGGUUUAGUGAGAUCUCUGGAUUGACGCUGGCUAGGGGGCGACCCUUGGUCAGACUGUUGAGAAACUGCUCAAACUUGAUCAUUUAGAGGAAGUAAAAGUCGUAACA